Molecule: long non-coding RNA, 1313 nt
Filed under: Bos mutus (wild yak)
Lineage: Eukaryota; Metazoa; Chordata; Mammalia; Artiodactyla; Bovidae
Description: lncRNA (ENSBMUG00000004873.1)
Source: RNAcentral
AGAAUUUCCCUCCAUUUCUAAGCUCCCUCGUCGAUGUUGCUGGGUGCCCUGUUGUCUGCCACAGGAGUGCACUGAGGAUGCCAGGAUGAUAAGGAGAUCAAGGGGAGGUGAGACAUGAAGAUGCUGGAGACCAACUCCUGUUAAACCGCCCUUCCUCAGAGCAUCUGCCUAGACAAGAUGCCCAAAGCAGUUCUCUUCCCAUGUAGGAAAUGGAAGCCCUAAAAGUAUAGUCUAUGGCUGGACCCUAAGCAACCCAGAGAUAGUCUCACACCUCUGCCAGCCUAGGCUAAUGAGUCAGAAACCAUCAUGUAAUUCAGUGAUGCACAGAGUAUUCAAACAGCAGAGCUUAAAGGAACUCUAAAUAUCUAGCCCUCUCGCUUUAAAGAAAAGGAAACUGAGGCCCAGAGAUAGAAAGCCAAUUUCUUUGAUUUUCUCUGGUCAUCGCAGCUAUUUCUGUCUUUGUUAUCUUUGUGCAUUUGCUGGAUUUUCCCCUAAUAGUCCCCUCCAAUUGCAGCCCUCAUGGCUUCUUCAGCUGACUACUCGUCAUCUUCCCAUAGUUUCUUCCUCCAGCAGCACCUUCACUUUUUCUGCUGGGAUCUCCUUGAAGAAGUAUAUUUGGACAGGAUCCUCUCUAAAAUCCUAGACAGGUGUCACUUUGCUACUGGCAAGCACAGCUGAAGACUUAGAGAUUUCUCCUUGCUCUGGGAAUGCAAGGCUUUGGGCACCUGAAAGUCAUCAAAGUACCUGUUUCUUUUCCCACUCCAGUCCCAAGUAAGGUGAAUAAGCUUACUGCUAAUUAAUGGAGAACUGUGUCUCACCAAUCCUUUGGCUGGAGAAGCCCAAUAUGAAAUUAACUAGUUCUGAAAACCCACCGAAGAAUUGAUGCUUUUGAACUGUGGUGUUGGAAAAGACUCUUGAGAGUCCCUUGGACUGCAAGGAGAUCCAACCAGUCCAUCCUAAAGGAAAUCAGUCCUGGGUGUUCAUUGGAAGGACUGAUGCUGAAGCUGAAACUCCAAUACUUUGGCCACCUGAUGCGAAGAGCUGACUCAUUUGAAAAGACCCUGAUGUUGGGAAAGAUUGAAGGCAGGAGGAAAAGGGGAUGACAGAGGAUGAGAUGGUUGGAUGGCAUCACCGACUCAAUGGACAUGGGUUUGGGUAAACUCCAGGAACUGGUGAUGGACAGGGAGGCCUGGCGAGUUGCAAAGAGUUGGACACGACUGAGCGACUGAACUGAACUGAACUUAAAACCCACCAACACCAAGAAAAGAUUCCCUAGAGGGAUUUGCAAUUUUUUGUUUGAAUUUCCUAACUUC